AUCAGCUGAUUUUACGAUGAGAAACGCGAGUCCAUUGCGAGUAGGAGGACGUGGGAUUUAUAUUAAGCGAUUGAUUAAUUGUCAUUUCUGGUCCAAUUAACAGUCAGAUAUGUCUGAGGACGAGAGUAACGUAGAGAAAAAGGAGGAGGAGAAGGAGGCCGAGCAGGACGCGGAGGCGACAGAAGGCGACGCAGAAGACGCGAAGGACGAGGCUCCGAGCCCCGAAGAAGCGCGCGAGCAGAAUGUCAGUGCCCAAGGCCGCUAAAUCGCCAAAGAAAGCUGGUGCAGGCGUGAAGAAGAAAGCCCCGAAGAAGAAGCAGCAUCCCAAAACACUUGACAUGGUGGUGGAAGCAAUUGAAAAACCUCGGCGACAGGAAGGGCUCCAGUGUGCAGGCCAUCAAGUCAUACAUUCUGCAGAACUUCAAGACAGUGAGAGCUGACAUGCUGAAGUCCAUGCUGCGUCGAGCUCUUGCCUCAGGCUUGGAGUCUGGGGUGGUGACACGUCCUAAGGGGCAGGCAGAGACACAGGCAAUGAGUGGGAGAUACCUUUCUGGGUAAGGCAGCAAAGAGAGAUGAAGAUGAAGAGGUAAUGCCAAAGGAGUCCAAAAGAGUACAAGAGGCCAAGGCAAGAGCAAAGGCAAAGAAGGUCGCCAAGAAGAAGGCUGCAGCUAAAGAGGUCGCCGGCCAAGAAAGUGGCCAAGAAACCCGUUGCAAAGAAGGCCUCUCCGUCAAAGGCCAAGAAACCAGUCAAAAAAGGGGAAAAAG
Molecule: non-coding RNA, 765 nt
Organism: Penaeus vannamei (Pacific white shrimp)
Lineage: Eukaryota; Metazoa; Arthropoda; Malacostraca; Decapoda; Penaeidae
Source: RefSeq, a predicted model, not a curated record